Molecule: long non-coding RNA, 1495 nt
Filed under: Vulpes vulpes (red fox)
Lineage: Eukaryota; Metazoa; Chordata; Mammalia; Carnivora; Canidae
Description: lncRNA (ENSVVUG00000000531.1)
Source: RNAcentral
AUGAAUUCCCACAGAUGGAUAGAAAAAGGAUCCCUUCUAGAAGAGGAUAAUGCCAAAGAAUCUGAGCUCUCUGAGGUCUCAUGGUGUUCACGCUGUCCCACCCUCAGGAGGCCUUUAACAGGUACCCCAAUCUUCUGCAUCUUCAAGGUGAUAUCAGGGUUUCACUCCUAUGUGAAAACCUGUGAGGGAGGAAGAUGUGGACACUUCUUGUCAGAAGAAGAGAACAGAGGAACAAUGUUGUUGUCUGUGUCCUCAGAAUCAUCCAGGAACGAGAACCAUCCUGCUACCCUUGCGACAUUACAGCUGAAUGACUGCAUUUCACUCGGACACUGGAUGAGGUUCUGUUUUCCUCACACCAGCCUGCCAUUGGCUUGCACGUGGAAAAAGAAUAUGAGACACAGAACUCCAACAUGUGGUUGGCCUAGGGUAAGUACACCGUUAAUGUGUGUUGAAUUAAAUUCAAUUGGAAUUGAGACGUUAUUACAUAAUAAAUAGGCCACAGGCCUUUGCGGGUCAUAUACUAAGUUGGGCACUGAUACAGGAGAGUGUGGCUUAUCACACGUGAUCAUCGUGUACAUGAGAACGUGCGCACGUCUGUGCAUCAUUAUGCACACAUGGCAAAAAACUGUCGCAUCUGGUGUCAUUCGGUUUUGCUGGUUUGGAUUGACCAAGAAAGCAUCAUGGGACUGCUUACUCCUGUGGAGGAGCCUCCAAUCCCGGUGGUCUGCCUGGAGGUGAACGGCAAUCCUCAGACAUGUUUACCUUUGGCAGGAGACCAGCAAGCUUCCAUUCAGGCUUCCUUCCUACUUUCAGAUCUUUCUUUAUCUUGCUCCUUACACCUCAUCCAAGGCAUCACUAUAAUUGUCCUUUGGAGUGCCAGCUGAUACUUGCAGCUUCCUGUCUCUUUGACCAAGGGAAAAAUGCUGAUUUCCUCUUUGCUAUUUGGCAAAUGUCAAAAGAAAAAGACUGGCUACACUAUGUAUUCCUUUCAGCAGCAUGAAUGAACAUCCUGUAUUUUUCCCCCAAUAAGGAGAAGAUUUAACUAGCUAAAACUUAAUUAGCCUAAGCUGAGAGACUUUAUUCCCAUUAUUUCCCUAUUUCUUCUCCUUCAUUUGUUCCUUUUUAUCUUCCAAGAAUCCCAAUCCUAUGUAGUUACAAUCCCAGGCCUUUAUAUCUUUGCAUAUCAUGUUUCUCUCCAACUUUUUUUUUCUCAGUUCUGGGAGAAUUUUCUGAAUUCUUCCACUUUACAGAUUUGGUUUUUCUGCAAUAACCUACUGUUCACUGCCUCCAUGGUAGUGUUUUUCAUUCUAUACUUGUAUUUCUCAUCUGAAUGCAAUCUUGCCUGAUUUUAUAUUGCUUUGUCUUCACCUAUGAAAUGUUUUCUCAAAACUCUUGGGGAAUACAAAAUAGAAAUGUUUUAAUGUUUUCUCCAGUUCCAUGGAGUAAGUCUCUUUAAUUGGGAAAAACCUGUUCUUAUUCCUUGGAUUAGCUCCUU